This 399-nucleotide unclassified non-coding RNA is filed under the name soil metagenome. RNAcentral's name for it is "partial contains 5.8S ribosomal RNA, internal transcribed spacer 2, and large subunit ribosomal RNA". The stretch from base 1 to 120 matches the Rfam family "5.8S ribosomal RNA", at positions 35 to 154 of the family's 154-position model. The record is from RNAcentral.
GAUGAAGAACGCAGCGAAAUGCGAUAAGUAAUGUGAAUUGCAGAAUUCAGUGAAUCAUCGAAUCUUUGAACGCACCUUGCGCCCUUUGGUAUUCCGAGGGGCAUGCCUGUUUGAGUGUCAUAAAUCUCUCAACCUUCCCUUCUAGUUUUUUCUGGUAGGGGAUGGGUUGGAUCUUGGGGGGUUUAUUGUCGGCUCCAUUGCGAGUCGACUCCCCUGAAAAGCAUUAGCAGUCGUGCUGUCUGCCACCGGUGUGAUAGUAAUCUAUGCCGUCUGGUCCAGUAUACGCGCUUGUCUGCUCCAAACAGUCCGAACAGUCUUGGACAACAAUAUAAAAUGACCACUUGACCUCAAAUCAGGUAGGACUACCCGCUGAACUUAAGCAUAUCAAUAAGCGGAGGA